Molecule: long non-coding RNA, 1144 nt
Filed under: Homo sapiens (human)
Lineage: Eukaryota; Metazoa; Chordata; Mammalia; Primates; Hominidae
Description: HSALNT0314204
Source: RNAcentral
CUGGGCUCAAGUGUUCCUCCUGCCUCAGCCUCCCAAUUCUGUAGGUCAAAAGUCAGGAAUGGAUCUCACUGGGCUAAAAUCAAGGUGUUGGUCAGCUGGCUUUAUUCCUUUCUGAGGGCUCUUGAGUUUGUUUCCUUGCUCAUGCAGAUGUUGGAAGAAUUCAGUUCCAUGCAGUUAAAGGACUGAGGGUCUUGCUCUGUCACCCAGGCUGGAGUGCAGUUGCUCUAUCAUGACUCACUGCAGCCUCAAAUGCUUGGACUCGAGCAAUCCUUCAGGCUAAAAGGUUUAUGAAGACAUCUGUCUUGUCCGGCAUCAUAUCCUGGGACCCACAAAGUGACUGAAAUAUAUCUGGUGGUCAAUAUAUAUUUGCAUCUUUCAAUUUAGACCGGCCACAUUUCAAGUGCUCAAUAGCCGCAUGUAGCUAGCGGCUACAAUAUUGAACAGUGCAGCUCUGGAAAUUUAAAAGUGAGUAAGAUAUGAUCCCUAUUCUCAACAUUUCACAAAGGGAAGUCUCAUCAUGUAAACAGAUAAAAUAUAGUACAAUUUAUGUGGCAAGGUAAUAUUUUGAGAUAAAAAUCAAAGAUUUUCUUUCCCGGGAGUUUCUUCUUGCUCUUUGUUCUUCCACCUAUUGAGUCCUUGCUACUUCUUAUUAAGGGCGAAAAGGAUAAAGAUGAGAACAAAGUCUAUAUAUAAAUAUAUGUAUAGUUUUUUGAGAACUGCCUGCUGGGUGCAGUGGCUCACAUCUGUAAUCCCAGCACUUCGGGAGGCCGAGGCGGGUGGAUCACGAGGUCAGGAGUUCGAGACCAGCCUGGCCAACAUGGUGAAACCCCGUAUAACUGUAUGUAUAUAAUUGUAUGUAUCUAUAUGUUUGUGUUUACAAGUACAUAUAUAUAUAUGUAAUUAUUUUUAAUUCACAGAAGAGAGUAUGGUCUUGAAAUUCUGGCUUUCAGAGUUAGCUUUUCUGAGAGGAAAAGGGCUUUUUGAACCAAAAGCUAAAAACCAGAAGGAUUCAGAGCAUGGGUUGUUUUUUUUUAUUAUUUUAUUUUGUUUACCAUAAAUGACAGAGCAGAGAGUAAUACAAAAUAUUCUAAGAACAUUUUUCUCAUUUCAAGACAAAUGAAAGUUCUUUCUUCCAGCUGGUGGG